Molecule: long non-coding RNA, 782 nt
Filed under: Bos taurus (domestic cattle)
Lineage: Eukaryota; Metazoa; Chordata; Mammalia; Artiodactyla; Bovidae
Description: long non-coding RNA NONBTAT025865
Source: RNAcentral
AGACUGCAUUUUUAUUCCUGCCUUCCUCUCACUGGCAGUUGCUGGUACAGUGCUGCAGCUGGCUGAGCAAAUGGUUUCUCUUAGAGCUGAUAAAGCUGCCUUAUGAAAUCAGCUGACAGGUAUAUUAUACCUACAGAUGAUGCUUUUUCUCACAGAGUUUGGUUUGAGAUUGACCCACUCAGUGAUUGCUCAACAAUAUACUCAACAGAUACUCUAAACAAAAGACUAAAUUUUUGUCCAGUUUUGUGAAUAUAAAGACUUAUCUGAACUCUAAAUACUUAAGUUAUUAUUGUACAAUAAAUAGUAUUAGCAAGAUCCUGGAUCUAAAAGUUAUCAUUUCUCUGAAUUUUUGGUCAUGAAGGAAGAAAAUUACUUUUGAAUUAAAAAAAUAAAGAAUUAAGGCCCUUCAGUUUUCAUUCUUCAUUCUGGAGUAGCAUGAACGAUGUUUGAAAUGGCUGAUUUCCAUUUUUGCUUUGACCUGAAUCAUUUGCUUAGGUUUUUUUUUUUUUAAUGUAAUAUAUUGCUUGGGGAUCGGUAUAUUUUUACUGAUUUAUUAGUUCUAUCUAAACUGUUAGAAAGCCAAGUUUAUCAUAUGUAACUCCUACUUAUAUAUUCCUCUCUUUCUCCCCCAGGGAUGAACUGUAAAAGCAACAUCAGCUUGACCAGUAUAAUAAUAUUACAGUGGAUUGCUCAUCUCAGUCUUCAAAGCUUUUGAAAAUCAACAGCAUCACAGCUUGUUUUGAACUUUCUUACACUAUUUUCAGCAUGAAAAUGUGUGGAUU